This 747-nucleotide ribosomal RNA is filed under the name uncultured Actinomycetes bacterium. RNAcentral's name for it is "bacterial SSU rRNA". It matches the Rfam family "Bacterial small subunit ribosomal RNA", at positions 46 to 808 of the family's 1533-position model. Lineage: Bacteria; Bacillati; Actinomycetota; Actinomycetes. The record is from RNAcentral.
GCUUACACAUGCAAGUCGAGCGAUGAAGUUUCUUCGGAAAUGGAAUAGCGGCGAACGGGUGAGGAACACGUGAAGAAUCUGCCCUCCACUUUGGGAUAACACCGGGAAACCGAUGCUAAUACCGAAUAUUGAAACAUAAGUGGCAUCACUGAGUUUUGAAAGAAUUUUGGUGGAGGAUGACUUCGCGGCCUAUCAGCUAGUUGGUGAGGUAAUGGCUCACCAAGGCAACGACGGGUAGCCGGCCUGAGAGGGCGACCGGCCACACUGGGACUGAGACACGGCCCAGACUCCUACGGGAGGCAGCAGUGGGGAAUAUUGGGCAAUGGAGGCAACUCUGACCCAGCGACGCCGCGUGCGGGAUGAAGGCCUUCGGGUUGUAAACCGCUUUCAGUAGGGAAGAAGCGAAAGUGACGGUACCUACAAAAGAAGCACCGGCUAACUAUGUGCCAGCAGCCGCGGUAAUACAUAGGGUGCAAGCGUUGUCCGGAAUUAUUGGGCGUAAAGAGCUCGUAGGUCGUUUGUUACGUCGGAUGUGAAAACCUGAGGCUCAACCUCAGGCCUGCAUUCGAUACGGGCAAACUAGAGUUUGGUAGGGGAGACUGGAAUUCCUGGUGUAGCGGUGGAAUGCGCAGAUAUCAGGAGGAACACCAAUGGCGAAGGCAGGUCUCUGGGCCAUAACUGACACUGAGGAGCGAAAGUGCGGGGAGCGAACAGGAUUAGAUACCCUGGUAGUCCGCACCGUAAACG